CGUCAAAACUCUGGAGAGACCGGUUCAAUCCGGCGCCGAAGGUGCACGAGGCGCGCGACCCGCAGGUCGCGCCUUCCAAACUCUCAGGCAAAAGGACAGAGGGGCACGA
RNAcentral lists this non-coding RNA (109 nucleotides) under Stenotrophomonas sp. Its description in RNAcentral is "Glycine sequence". It matches the Rfam family "Glycine riboswitch aptamer". Rfam says of the family: This family represents the bacterial glycine riboswitch. Glycine riboswitches usually consist of two metabolite-binding aptamers domains with similar structures in tandem. The aptamers cooperatively bind glycine to regulate the expression of downstream genes. Lineage: Bacteria; Pseudomonadati; Pseudomonadota; Gammaproteobacteria; Lysobacterales; Lysobacteraceae. The record is from RNAcentral.